ACUGAAUAGAUACCCCGGUAGUCCACGCCGUAAACGAUGAUCACUCGCUGUUUGCGAUAUACAGCAAAGCGGCUGAGCGAAAGCAUUAAGUGAUCCACCUGGGGAGUACGAUCGCAAGGUUGAAACUCAAAGGAAUUGACGGGGGCCCGCACAAGCGGAGGAAACAUGUGGUUUAAUUCGAUGAUACGCGAGGAACCUUACCUGGGCUUAAAUGUAGGCUGCAUUCGGCUGAAAGGCUGAUUCCCUUCGGGGCUGCUUACAAGGUGCUGCAUGGUUGUCGUCAGCUCGUGCCGUGAGGUGUCGGGUUAAGUCCCAUAACGAGCGCAACCCCUAUCGUUAGUUGCCAGCGGGUCAAGCCGGGGACUCUAGCGAGACUGCCACCGUAAGGUGAGAGGAAGGUGGGGAUGACGUCAAAUCAGCACGGCCCUUAUGUCCAGGGCUACACACGUGUUACAAUGGCCGGUACAAAGGGCAGCUACUAUGCGAAUAGAUGCUAAUCUCGAAAGCCGGUCCCAGUUCGG
Molecule: ribosomal RNA, 521 nt
Filed under: uncultured bacterium
Lineage: Bacteria
Description: bacterial SSU rRNA
Rfam family: Bacterial small subunit ribosomal RNA
Source: RNAcentral